AGUGAACGCUGGCGGCAUGCCUAACACAUGCAAGUCGAACGGCAGCACAGUGAGAGCUUGCUCUUACGGGUGGCGAGUGGCGGACGGGUGACGAAUAUAUCGGAUUCUUCUUUUUCGGGGGGGAUAACGUAGGGAAACUUACGCUAACACCGCAUAUGACCUACGGGUGAGAGCAGGGGAUCUUUGAGCCUUGUGCGAUUGUAUGAGCCGAGGUCGGAUUAGCUAGUUGGCGGGGUAAAGGCACAGCAAGGCGACGAUCCGAAGCUGGUCUGAGAGGAUGGUCCGCUACACUGUAUGAGAGACAGGUCACAGACUCCUACGGGAGGCAGCAGUGGAGAAUAUUAGACAAUGGGGGAGUGCGUGAUCUAGCAAUACCGCGUGAGUGAAGAAGCCCUUCUGCUUGUAAAGCCCUGUUGUUGGGAAAGAAAUGCAGCAGGUUAAUACCCCGUUGUUCUGACGGUACCGAAAGAAUAAGCACCGGCUAACUUCGUG
This 492-nucleotide ribosomal RNA is filed under the name uncultured bacterium. RNAcentral describes it as "partial 16S ribosomal RNA". It matches the Rfam family "Bacterial small subunit ribosomal RNA", at positions 29 to 507 of the family's 1533-position model. The record is from RNAcentral.